This is a long non-coding RNA of Lagopus muta (rock ptarmigan), 10708 nucleotides long. RefSeq lists it as uncharacterized. NCBI's taxonomy places the organism in Eukaryota, Metazoa, Chordata, Aves, Galliformes, Phasianidae. The transcript is spliced from 4 exons. The record is from RefSeq and is a predicted model, not a curated record.
AUGUAUAUUUUGUCAUACACACUGCAAGAACAUCCUGCACGAGAGCAAACCAGAGAACAAGUGAUGGCCUACCCGAGGAAGGGCCUUAAGAGACAUCAUCCCCCAGUGCUCUUUGUUUAACGAUGACUUUAAAGAAAAUCACCAUAUCAACAGGACAAGGAGAGCACCGAGACAUCUUGGAAACAACAGGAUGACUGCUGACUGACACCAGAUAACAAAUAUAUUAACAAGUAAAUAUCAAAUGUCAACCUUCUGGUAAGAUUGUGAACCUGGAGUAUGCAGCCACUGGGGAAACAGGGGAGGGGGGAGGCAAGGGGGAGAAAACAGGGUCUAAAGGCUGUCAUGUUGUGUCCAUAGGCGCGCUCCUACUUGCGGGACACCACCAUUGCAAUUGCGAAACUAGGGAAAAGAACAGGGAAAAGAUGUUUAAAUACUGUAUACAGUAGAGAGCCUCUACAGGGAAAAUCAUUAUUUGGACCUAAAUAGUAGUCUGACGAAAAUUGGGCCUAUCAGACUUUGUAUUUCUAUGUAAACAGCAAGACUCCUUUUUCUGAAACAGAAUUGGCUUAGGUCGCUUAAUGGGUGCAAGAAGUAAAGAAAUGUUCCUUGCAAGGAGUCAAAGUUCAAAGGAAAUAGGAAAGAGAAGCAGAAAGAUCAUAAAUGGAUCCCUUAGGUAACUUCCCCCUCCCCCCUUCAAUUUCUAAAGCAGUGCAGGCGGCAGUGAGCUCUGCAGAGGAGGAGAGUGGGUGCUGCUGAUCUGUGCAGGUCUGGGAGAGAGGAUGCGCUCUCGAUGACUGAGGGAGUUGGAGUAAUGCGAAUGGGACCUGGAGAGUUUUCCUUUCUCUAAUGCUAACCUUACUAACACUUCACUUUAUCCUCUUAGGGCAGUCUUCUUAGGUCAAAGGGAAAUAGGGUAUGGUAAUGCUGCUGUUUUCACUAGAAGUUAGAAGUUUCAAGAAGAAUUCCUUAGCUGAGGAUCCUAUAAGUGUAGCAGAACAAUUAGAUCAAUUUCUAGGGCCUAAUUUGUACUCAUGGAUGGAAAUGAUGUUUAUCAUUGAUAUGUUGUUUAUUGGAGAAGGAGAUUGGCAGCUACGCAAGUGUGGGACAUGAAUACAGGGGGAAGGUUGGGCUCUGGAGGGAGGCAGAGAGAGGAAGGAUCCUGAGGAUAAAUUGUACUGAUUACUGUCACUGUCUCUGUGAUUGUUAAAUGUUUAUGUCAUGAAUGUGUUAUGUUAUGUUAUAUUGUGUACGAGGCUGUUAUGGAACAAGGGGUGUCUAAAGUGAUAUGAGAAGACCCCCUGGGUUGUAUUUUGGCUCACUGGAGAAACAUUGUUGGUGAGCCAGGGGAAUAUUGAAUGAGAAACCAGGAACGUAAAUGGAGUAAUGGGACCAGUUUUAUAAUUGAGUACCCUAAUCAUGAGACCAAGUGCUGGGUGUCUGUGGAAACUGAGGAAUUGUAUUGUUUGAUUUGUGGAUUUUGAAGGCACUGGGAGAAACGGUCUUAAUGGUAUGUGGAAAUUAUGUGGAAAUGCAACUUUUAAUGGUAUGUGGAAAUGCAAUUGCUAACAGUAUGUGGAAUUGCAGUUGAGGGGAUGUAUGGGAACUGCUGAGCCACGGCCUGAACCUCUGAUUGAUCACCUGAGGCGAGCCAUGAGUCAGCCAGAGGAGCACAGCUGAAGGCAAUUCACCUGUGCUGCUGGAAGGGGGGGAGCCUGGCUCCAUCCCUCCUAGACCUAUUUAAGAGCUGGCUGCCAGUGGGGAAGGAGCUCUGCUGGAGAUUGGCUCUGCUGGUGUUUUGUGGGUGAGCUCAGGAUAGGGGGUACAAAUAGUGGAAUUGUGGAAAAACAAACAAACAAAAAGCUCUCCAGCAAUGCUGCUGAUACUCAUCAAAUCCAAAGUCACCCACGCUAGAUUUAUUUGAGCUUGGCACUGAGAUAUUAUCUGCAGUGCAAGUACACUCCCUCGACAGCGUUUACUGAAUGCUUAAGUUUUCUACUCAUUUCACAGCUAACAGCUGUUGUGUAUUAAAGGCACAAGCCUCUCGCUAGUCCAUGUGCUGGGGAACACAAGGCUGUGUGUAAAUGUAAGAGGGAAAAACAGCACAAACAAGAGAAGGCUUAAGCAGCACUGGGAGUGCAAAACAAGAGCCUUAGACCAGUUGAGUGGGAUUCCCCUGAAGCAGUACUUUCCUUUUCUCUCUCAUUCUCCAUGAGGAAGAGGAAUAUCACGGUGCAAAAACAAAGGGCCAAGAAGCAAAGUUCAAAAGCAAAAUCAAUUCAGAUCCAUAAAACUCCACCAGUUACCUAAGUGCUUUUUAACAUAAAGCCACUUGGCUGUUGAAUGCAUAUCUUCAUUGAAAAAGCACACAGUGCAGCCAAGCCAGCUCCCCUACCACCACUUAUGCUUGUUAAUGCACUGUAAAUCUGCCAGAGCAGCAUGUGUGCAAAGCUCGCAGCAACAGCAAGAAUCCAUAAGUUCUGACUUUGUUCCUAGGGAUAUUCAUGUUUGAACAGGUCCAUUCUUCCAAGCUGCACGCACUCAUGAACGUGAGAUCUUCACACAGUGGUUUUUGGAAAACAGCCACACAGCCUGAAAAUUAUCACUCCUGGUAGGCUCUGUGGCUCUGGCUCUCUUUUAUAGCGUGCAAGCAGCCUCAUCUGUCUACAGCAGUAGAUCUUUCCCUUCUGAAAGCAUGAAGAUGGCCAUCUUACAUUUGUCCACCUGAGGCAGCUCUGCUUUUGCUGGCAGAGAUCUGAUGACCUGGAAGCCUGAAGGAAAGAAUGCUUUUGCAUUAGCAGCCAUGCUGCCACCUUUUAGAUGCAGAACACAUCACGAGCAAAACAUUUGGAUUACAAUGAACCAACAGUUCCCUGUUAGAGGCAUGCAAGCAGACAAGAGCAUUAACCAAUGCCAAAACAUUACAUAUGCUGGCCAUCCACUGAUCCUGUUACAUUUAGCUGGUAGACUCAGCACCCUCUCUACCUGACCUGCUUAGAAAAGGAAGAAAGCUUCGUGAACGUGAGGCGACAGCUGUGAUUAAAGAACAGAUGCAAGAAGAGAUACAGAGUUGCUGUCAGCCCCUGACCUACCUUGAACAGCAGGUUAUUUUGCAUAGAGCCAGGAAUAUUAAUUCAUUCCUGCUUUUAUCUGUGCUUCAGUCAGGUAUUUUUGCUGCAGGUGUCAGCUUGUGGAGGAAGCAACUCCAGAACGACAAAGCUUGAAAAAUGAAGCUGACAACUGAAACCAGAGCCUUUGCUGAAGUUCUGAAGAGCCACACCAUGAAACAAGGAAAGCAGAAAGCAGCUGUUGGCAUUUCUACUUAAGUGAGUGGGAACUGAAUGUUUUGCAGCACUGUACAUCAUCAGCCACAAGCUUAAAGCAUACGUGGUCCCUGCUCUGGUAGUCAAAAGGGGGAAAAGAAUGCUUUAGGGACAGCACAAAGCUAUCGGAAAUAGAAAGAAAAGGUUAUUCACUGCAUUUCUGCUGGAUUUGCAGAGGAAUAAAGAACAGAGUAUUUCCAAUGACUGUGUCCAGUUUGCAGUUUUUUCAUUCAGCAGCACAAAACUGACAUUGUCAGCUUUGCCUCUGCUUCCUAAAGCUGCUUGGAAACCAACCAAAACUUUACAACAAGCGAGUUAGAACUACUGCUAAGGGAGAAAUCAGAGCUAGGCUUCACUUUGUGGGGAUCUACUUAAUCCACUUAAGCGACUUGAGCACCUUGUGGAUGCUUUCUUUUACAGGAGGAAGCCCUUGAAGCCCUGACUCAAGAUCCAGUUGCAUCACCCUCAUCUGCAGAGGCUUCUCUGUCUCAGAGAAGUCACCCCAGGGGAAGGCAAAUCAGCCUUAGACGGGGUAAAUGUACUUGCUGUUCUCUGUUCUGAGCCUGCAUACUGAAAAGUUGUCUUCCAAGCAGUUUUUAUCCGCACCAAGUUCUUCAUUCUGCCCACCACCUGCAACAAGAGAUGACACCCCAAACAACCUCAUUUUAAGUAUCAUUCAACAACGAUCCCUUUGGUGAGAAGCACUGAGUUUCAGCUGCUACAAAUUUGAUUUCAGUACUCCAAACAUGCUCAGAAUAGAGCAGAUACUGCAGAGCAACAGCUGCAGACUGAGCUAGCCUCCUUGCUUGCCGUUCUGAUGGAGAAGCAAUGCACCACAGUGAAAGGUGAAGCUCACACUCAGCCCCACUGACCAGAGAAGGAGCAGCAGCUGCUAUCGCACACUUUACACAGCAGAAGGCAGAGACAGCCAAAGACACAAAGGAACAUCUCUGGGCUUAAGUGAUGUUAAAAGAGGAGCUGGAUAUUCUGUUAUCUGUGCCUCACGCCAUUCAGCAAACAUUCAGAUAUGGCGAUUACUUACCAAAAUAAGUGGAAGUGGCCACUCUGUCAGGGGAAGUUUGCAGCCAUGCAAUCCUAUACGUCAGAAGGUGUUGUUUCAGAUAUUUGCUUGAAUCAGAAGAAAACUGAAGGCUGGUUUUUAUUUACUCCAGACUCUUCUUUUGGUUUCUGCAAUUGUCCUUCAGUGAUUGGAAAGACUGCUUUGAACAAUGUGAGGGCAGCUGUGGGACUUAUCUCAAAUACUUUCAAUUGUUUAUUUUUUUACAAGUUCUAUUUCUUGUCCAACAUUUUUUUUAGUGCUCCAGCACUCAGUAAGAGUUAUAGUGUUGAAAUAAAUCUGGAUUAAGCAAACAGCUCCAUUUGAAUAGUAAACACAGACACCCUUCCUGCUAGCUCAGCUCAAUGAUCACAGUUUAAAUGAUCAAAGCACACAGGCUAAAAAUAGAAAACUCUGCUCACAAGUUUAAUUGCCUUCAUCGAGCAAGAAGCAGACUUCUGAAGUUCACUGCCAUGCUGUUAGUGCAGUGGGAAAGAGAAGCAUGCCAGCAAGGUGAGAAGCAAGGCAGAGAAGCUGGGCAGCACAGACAGCAUGCUGGUACACAAGUGGCCGGUGGAGGUGGCCACACAGAGCAAUUCUGGGCUACAGCAUCGCAUCGGGCCCUGCUCCCCUCUCAGCCACGCUGCCCUGGGGUCAGCUACCUUUAACCUGUCUCCUGAGAAGGUUCAGCUAUUUUGCCAGCUGCCCUGGGCUGCUGACUUGCCCUGCUCCCUACCUCAUCCUCCCAGUUCUUCCAGCAGUAAUUGCCUCCUCACUGCUGUGGCUGAUGGACAGAAUUACACACCCUGCAGCCCAAGGAUCAAUCCCAAGAAAACUUCCUACGUGUUUUGCUGCCUACUGAGCUGGUUUGCAAUAUAUCUGAUGCAUCCUCUGUUUGCAGUGCAAACCCUUAGAACAAACCAAAGCACAACAUCAAGAGCUUUGGAGAAACAAUUCUACCACUUCCACCAAUGAAGAUGCAAUCUUGAUAAACUUGCCACAUUUUAUACCCUGCCUUCCAAAGGAUAAAUCUACUUUCAUUAGAAUGUUUAGCUGUUAAAUCCUCUUUUAUUGAAUUGCAAGUUAACUCUUACCAUUAGAAUUGCACAGGCACCACCUCAGGCUAAUGACUUGAAAGUCUCCUAGAUCUCCUGUUACCCUUUUAAAACACCCAAGUACUGUCUUUUAAUCUUCCCGUGGUACUGAUUCAGUCACGGCCACAUUAACAUAGUGCUCUCACAUUACAGCCUUAGUGAACCUUCCUUGCUUACACUCACUCACUCUGGAUAUCAGAAGCCAUCCACGACUGUACCACCACCAAUGUCACCUUUACAGCAGCUACACACUGAGUUUCCAAAACGCAGGGAUCCAUAGGGGAAUUGCAAUAGAAGCGUGUUUACCAAUUUCACACCCUGAUGUGAAUGCCAAAAUAAUCUGAUCUGCCUUCAGGCCAGUAAGGGUAAGAUAAAUUAUUUGCAGCCUCCUAAGAGGAUAUCACCAGGUCUCUCACUCAGAGCAGCAGAUUCUGGAGAGGAUAUGAUGUCACCAUCAUUAAUUUUCAUUAAAACACCACAGUGUUGUUUCCAACAAAAAGAAACGCAUUCCCACAUCCUGCUGAAAAAUCUAUGGACUUGCUGUGAUGACCUGGGAAUGCAUUUGCAGAGAACUAGGUUCCUGGCUGGGCAACUACAUACCAUUUAUAGCAAGAAAGCAAAUCAUCUUCAGAAACAAGCUCGUCGUAAGUAGGCCAUUGAUCCUCUGUGUAAGAACGGGCUGGAAAUAGACAGGAGGGUACAGGAGGAAAAAGGGACAUACAGAGAGAAAAGCUCACAAUGGGAGUCCAGGACUUGUGCUGAUGAUGAAGCUCAGCUGGUCACCCUGCAGCACAGCAUCACACUGACUGACAGCUCGCCCUAUGAUAUAGCAGUCCCAAAGGAACUAACAGCAGCCACAGUUAAUAAUUUAGACAUAAGCCAAAGAAGAAGAACUGAACUCAAGGGUCCAUAGGAUGCCACAAUAAUGGCACUGCAGUCAAAUAGAGUGCAAGGAGACCAACACGAAACUCAGUUAUAACACCAGAGAAAAAUUCCCACUGAGCCCAAAGCAAGUGUGCUUGGGCAGAGUUCUUUGAAACAUGGGGAACUGGAGAAAACAGUUUUAGCCACAGCCACUGAGUUCCCAGUCAUGGGACAGGCAGACAGAUGUGUGGAAAUAGUUACACAAUGCCAUUUUUGACAGAUCCACGCAAAAUACUACCGUGCUUCCUCUUCAAAGAGGAAUUGCAGUAAAAUUAUUAAUAAAAUUAAUAGAAAACCACAGAGCAGGUUGUUUUUACAGCCAAAUGAGAAACCGUGGUUCAACCUGUACUUAACAUGGAAAAAAGCACAGCAACAGACUGGAAACUGUCACCAGUCCUUCGUGCACUCUGCUCACCAACAACUGAUCUGAAAGACAGACAUGGCCAAGUCUUCUGUCAAGAGGAAAGAUGCUGCUGCUUAAAUCCAAAGAGACACAGGGAGGCACAGAGCACGUCAGCUACUGGAGCUGUGUGGCACCAAGGGUCACUACACAUUGCAUUCAGCAUGCAUGGGCACACUCACUGCUCCAGUAAAAUUAAGAGACAGGAGCAGGGGCUGCUGAGAGUGGAGGUAGCUGAGAUGAGCUAAGGGACAGCAGGACAGCAGUUCUCCAGAGACGCAGCACAACAAAGCAUCAGGUACAGAGCUCCCAUUCACAGAGUCUGCAGCUUGUCACUGCUUCACAGCACAGAGAAUCAACUAAGCUUCACCAGCAAACGAGACCACAGAAUGGCAAAAUUAACAUUUCAGGUCUAGAGUCUGGCUAUUGAUCGGGAUUAAAGAGGCACAGAUAAGGACUAAGCCACAGGAGAGAAGGGUAAUAUUCCUGCGACUGUUCGCCUCCAGGAUCAGGGUUCAAUAGAAAUGAGAUAGGAGAGCUUGCUUUCAGAUCAAAGCCAGUAUUAAACUCACCUGACUUCCUUUAUUCUCCCUGUUCUCACAUCAUGGUCUUCUGUAACUAAGGCUGCUCAAAUGCGUUUCCUCGAAACAUCACAGCCAGCAAUCACAAAACUGAGGUACAGUAACAGCCUUACAGUCACUCUUCAAACACACAUCUGCUAAGAUUGCUAUACUCAAAACACAGUUCUACCUUAAUAACCAACCAGCAGGUAAUUCAAGCUGUCAGGUAGAAAGUCACAACACAAACAUUACAGGAAUGGUCAUCCACACAAGACACACAUAUCAGGCAAUCCAAGCACUUUGUAUGCUGCUUGUUUAGCACUGCAAUCUCACAUUUAAUAGUGGCAAAAUGUCUCAAUCCCUUCUUAAAAAAAUUAAAAAUAAAAAAAUUGUUCUCAUACUGUCAAAGCAGCCCCUGGUAAAGUUCUUAGAUAAUCACCAUACUUAAUAUUAUCACUACAUGUGGGAGCAAAACAGGAAGACAUGCAUUUCUUGACAUCUGUAAGCCACACUGACUACAGUAUGCACUCACAUACAUCUUUGGUUUAUCAGAGAUCCAUCACCAUCAGCUGUAUGUGCACAUAUGCACUUUUUGUGACAGAGGAGCUCAAACGCCAUCACUUCAGAAUCAACUUCAGCUCUGGGAUGAAUGAGUACAGCAUGAUGAUGGGUCUGAACCACAACAGAGGGACAUGUGCAGUGCUAUUAAAACUCAAAAAUACUGCUGGAAGAAUAAGCAUUGUUUACAUUUACGGUGCUAUUUAGCCUUUGCUGAGGCACUGGACGUGAAGAGAAAGAGUCCUGCUGGGGAAGGGCACCCACAAGCCCUGCUAGUGCUCUGCAGCCCAGGUCAGCACUGCCAUCACAAACUGCUGUCUCUGCAGUCCCAAUGCUCCACAGCCACAGGAGCUGCCAUGUGGUCAGCCCCGGGCUGUAGAACCACACAGAUGCUUCAGGCUGCUAUGGAGCUGCUUUGCUUUUCCAACCAGCAGUUUGUGUCACUAUCAAAGAUAGAAAACCAUAUACAGAGUGAGUUUCUUAACGGCAGCGUGAAAUGCAAGCAGCCCUAGUUGCCCUGGACACGGAACCCACAGCCACCACAAGUGCCAAUUUUAACUACUGCAUCAAUGAGCACGUUGCUAGGAAUAACUAGUUGCAGCACUAAUCCCCAGUCACAGAGUGUAUGGGAACUGCUGAGUCGCCUGCCUGAACCUCUGAUUGAUCACCUGAGGAGAGCCAUGAGUCAGCCAGAGGAGCACAGGUGAAGGCAAUUCACCCGUGCUGCUGGAAGGGUGGAGCCUGGCUGCAGCCCUCCUAGACCUAUUUAAGAGCUGGCUGCCAGUGGGGAAGGUGCUCUUCUGAUGUUUUGUGGGUGAGCCCAGGAUAGGGACACCAUGCCAACUGCACCUCCCCAGAAUCCUUGCAAUGCAGCUUCACAUCCUUCCAGUUUCUGUGAGCUAGGAAGCAAAAGUGAUGAAACACGCUAACAAACAACAACACAACCAAAUACCCAUGGUAUAAGGAGCUAUAAGGGGUAACAACCUUAUACUGAGCAGUAUGCUGCAACAACAGCACAACUCUGCACAUCAAAAUGGGAGGAAUCAAGUACAGAAGUUUGCUGGCUACAUAACUGGCCAUGGCCAGGAUACCCUGCCAGCAGAAGUUCAUUAUGUAUGUUGCUUCCUCUUAUGUUCCUCCUUACACACUCUGCAAUCUGCUGAAGAACAUGGGGCAGCUGUCUGACCUGCCUUCAGAUAGCUGCCUUGGACAACACCGUUAUCUCUGUGCAUCAGACUCCCUUCUGCCUGGACCUCCCAUUCCUGCAGGCUCAGAUUCACACUUCAGCAGUGCAGUUGUUAUCCUGCAGAAAACAUAAAUGGAGGAUAUUAGCAGACCCAAAUAUCCUGCUUGCAAACCACUGGCUGAAGGGUGAAGCAGCCAAAGGAGGUUCACUUGAAGUAUAUGACAACCUGCACUGGUACAGCAGCCAAGAAAAGGCAGCAGAAGGACAUAAGCAAGUGAUUGUUUCUUUUAAUGUUCUGAUUUGGCUGCAAACAAGCGUCAUUUCUGCAAUACUGCACAGGAUGGUCCAUAGGAUUUCGUCUGUUUAUAUUGCUGUUGAGGGAAAGUGAGCUCCAAGCAGAUAAAGCUUUCCAACAACAUCAAGUUUGUGAGACACUGCUGUAUGGAACGCAUGAUUCAACCAAGACAAUUAACAAGCUUAAAAUGCAUGCAGGACCCCAGGGGCUUCUGAAACAGUUUCAAAGGCUCAACUUGGAGAAAAGCAGGGAAAAUUUGCCCACUGACUGUUUUGAAAAGUGCAAAAGGAGGAAUAAGUACAAGAAAACUUGCCACAAGCAGAGCAUGCGUUCAGCUUGGCCUUCCCUGUGCCAUAGAUCUAGGAGCAGUGCUCAUUCUACCACAUCUCUGCCCACCAGAGCCAGCCAGCAGCCUGAGGCUCUGCUCAGGUAGCAACUGCUUCAGCAAAGAAGCGCUUUAAAACUGGAAGAGUCAGCAAGCUAUCACUUGGUAACUUCUGAAAGUAGGGGUAAUCUCCUACAGCGAAAUCAAGUAAGUAGUCACAGAAGCUGAGCACGCACACAGUCUGAGCUACUGCACACCAUCAGAACGGAGAAGCCAACCCAGCGCCAUCUGCAAUUACUAAAGCUUGUGCGAACACGAACCGAGCGCUGACAGCAUCCCAAAGUUUUACCUGUGGGGCACGAAAACAAACACCAUCACCCACAGAGAUUAGCAACAGCACUUUAUGGGCUCUGCCACCACUCGUGACAAAAAAAAUCCAUGUCAUCAGCAGGAAAAUUUUCCUUUCUAAUGUUGGUUUUGUCUAAGAGAACAGAAAGAUCCUCAGGGAGUUCACCAUAGAGAGAGCCGCUCGGGCUCAUUUUCCAGAGCUUCGCCUGCCUUUAGGCUCCCACAGGCUGCCGCGUUCCUGCAGCACAGCGAUUUGGCUCCAGCCUCCCGAACUGCACGGCCAUGAAAUACUCUUCACACUUCAGCAACGUGACCAUGGCUAACGCCGGCUGCACAGCGGCAGUAGCUCGGGGCUCUGCCCUUUUCCGCCGCCCUUCCGAAGCAUCCGUCCGUCUUCGUACAAGAUGUGAAGACGGCCCUAGGCUAAACGCAUCUUCUCCCAUUAUAGAUCUAUUGCUUUUAAGAGGAAUACAACCGCUCUCCCGGCGUAACAGCACCAACACGCAGAAAGCACUACAAAUGCCGAGGCGGCAGACAGAGAACGGCCGCGGCUUCGCCCCGGCCACGGCUCUCGCGCGGUAGCCGGCCGAGCCCCGAUCCCGGCACCCACCGGCACACGCUCGCGACCCCGGCCGAGAACA